AGUGAACGCUGGCGGUAGGCCCAACACAUGCAAGUCGAACGGCAGCACAGUAAGAGCUUGCUCUUACGGGUGGCGAGUGGCGGACGGGUGAGGAAUACAUCGGAAUCUACUUUUUCGUGGGGGAUAACGUAGGGAAACUUACGCUAAUACCGCAUACGACCUGCGGGUGAAAGCAGGGGAUCUUCGGACCUUGCGCGAUUGAAUGAGCCGAUGUCGGAUUAGCUAGUUGGCGGGGUAAAGGCCCACCAAGGCGACGAUCCGUAGCUGGUCUGAGAGGAUGAUCAGCCACACUGGAACUGAGACACGGUCCAGACUCCUACGGGAGGCAGCAGUGGGGAAUAUUGGACAAUGGGCGCAAGCCUGAUCCAGCCAUACCGCGUGGGUGAAGAAGGCCUUCGGGUUGUAAAGCCCUUUUGUUGGGAAAGAAAAGCAGCAGGUUAAUACCCCGCUGUUCUGACGGUACCCAAAGAAUAAGCACCGGCUAACUUCGUG
RNAcentral lists this ribosomal RNA (492 nucleotides) under uncultured bacterium. RNAcentral describes it as "partial 16S ribosomal RNA". It matches the Rfam family "Bacterial small subunit ribosomal RNA", at positions 29 to 507 of the family's 1533-position model. The record is from RNAcentral.